AGCAGUAGCCGCGGUAAUACGUAGGGUGCGAGCGUUAAUCGGAAUUACUGGGCGUAAAGCGUGCGCAGGCGGUUAUAUAAGACAGAUGUGAAAUCCCCGGGCUCAACCUGGGACCUGCAUUUGUGACUGUAUAGCUAGAGUACGGUAGAGGGGGAUGGAAUUCCGCGUGUAACAGUGAAAUGCGUAGACAUGCGGAGGAACACCGAUGGCGAAGGCAAUCCCCUGGACCUGUACUGACGCUCAUGCACGAAAGCGUGGGGAGCAAACAGGAUUAGAUACCCGUGUAGUCCCUGUCUCUUAUAC
This 303-nucleotide ribosomal RNA is filed under the name uncultured bacterium. RNAcentral describes it as "partial 16S ribosomal RNA". It matches the Rfam family "Bacterial small subunit ribosomal RNA", at positions 507 to 807 of the family's 1533-position model. The record is from RNAcentral.